CUGUAAAUGUGUCUGUAAGUGUGUCUGUAAGUGUGUCUGUAAGUGUUACUGUAAGUGUGUAAGGGCACUAUAAAGACACUCAAUGUGGCUCCUCCAACCUCCAUCCCCAGUGUGUGUCAGGUGGGGAGGUAAGAGGCGGGGCGGGUUCACCGCCAACCAGAGCCCCACGGGGGGCCAAGCUGCCGUUUAAAAGCUAUUAUAAAUGCUAUGCCAUUAGCGACCGCCUCCAGCUAGCGCUCGCAAUGAAUAGGGGAUGCAAGGUGAAAUUCAUCUUCACAGAGUCAAAGGGCU
Clupea harengus (Atlantic herring) is the source of this 291-nucleotide long non-coding RNA. NCBI's taxonomy places the organism in Eukaryota, Metazoa, Chordata, Actinopteri, Clupeiformes, Clupeidae. The record is from Ensembl.